RNAcentral lists this ribosomal RNA (495 nucleotides) under uncultured bacterium. RNAcentral describes it as "partial 16S ribosomal RNA". It matches the Rfam family "Bacterial small subunit ribosomal RNA", at positions 28 to 507 of the family's 1533-position model. The record is from RNAcentral.
GAUGAACGCUGGCGGCGUGCCUAAUACAUGCAAGUAGAACGCUGAAGGAGGAGCUUGCUCUUCUGGAUGAGUUGCGAACGGGUGAGUAACGCGUAGGUAACCUGCCUCGUAGCGGGGGAUAACUAUUGGAAACGAUAGCUAAUACCGCAUGACAACAGUUAUUGCAUGAUAACUGUUUAAAAGGGGCAACUGCUCCACUACCAGAUGGACCUGCGUUGUAUUAGCUAGUUGGUGAGGUAACGGCUCAACAAGGCGACGAUACAUAGCCGACCUGGGAGGGUGAUCGGCCCAAAUGGGACUGAGACCCCGCCCAGACUCCUACGGGAGGCAGCAGUAGGGAAUUCUCGGCAAUUGACGGAAGUCUGACCGAGCAACGCCGCGGGAGUGAAGAAGGUUUUCGGAUCCGAAAGCUCUGUUGUAAGGGAAGAACGAGUGUUAGAGUGGAAAGUUCACACUGUGACGGUACCUUACCAGAAAGAGACGGCUAACUACGUG